GAUAUGGCGGAGAAAAUAACUGAGGAAAAGUUGAGAAGAAAUCCCAUUGAAAAGGCCAAUCCUCUCAGCCGAUUAUUUUUUUGGUGGACACUGGGGUUAUUUAAAAAAGGAGCACGAAAUGGAAUUACGGCUGAUGAUCUUUAUACUACGUUAGCUUCUGAUAAAUCGGAGACACUGACAGACAAUUUGGAACGGGCAUGGGGUGAUGAGCUAAAGAAAUUGAAGGUCAAUGAAAAUAAUCAGAGUAGUGUCGAUAAUCGUAAAGCGAAAUCACCAAAACCGAGUUUGCUUCGCGCAAUUAUUAAGACAUUUUGGGUUAAAUAUGCGAUUAUUGGAGUAUUUCAAGUUAU
Long non-coding RNA from Microplitis mediator, 350 nucleotides. RefSeq lists it as uncharacterized. The transcript has 3 exons. The record is from RefSeq and is a predicted model, not a curated record. NCBI's taxonomy places the organism in Eukaryota, Metazoa, Arthropoda, Insecta, Hymenoptera, Braconidae.